UUAUUCUUUUGUAGGUCACGGAUAUCUGAUGUGGCUAAUGAGGAAGUCUGCAAGUUGGAUAAAAAAUUCAGGAAAGGGAGUCACAUUUGAGUUCGUGUUCUUGGCUUUAGGCAUCUAGAAGAAUUGGCAAUGGAUGUUUUCUCUAGAUAUCAUCCUGAUUCGGAACUCAAAUGGACCUUCAUCAGUAUGAUGCAAGAGGCAAUUCAGGGUUGUCAUCAAGCUUGAUGCACGCGCCGACCUGCACCAUCUAGGAUUGUUCUUGAUAUUGUUAUGGCAGGGGAUCAAAACAGUGUGGCCACCUAUUGAAAGAUUGGAUCUCACACCCGUGUGCCAUAUUGGCACGUUUGUAAGAAUAUAGAAGGCCAGAGAUAUUCCAAGCGGUUAAAUGAGAGGCAGAUAACUAAUCUGUUAAAGGUGACCUGCCAAUGUCUUCAAGAUCGGGAUCUUGAUAUUGUACAGGUGUUGUGAUCUUGUCAUAGAAAGUGGCUUCAGAGUUUAUCUAUACCAGUUUUUUUUUUUUUUUUUUUGAAAUAGAAAUCAUUUUCCAGUUGGCCCUAAGCUUUCUUUUCAUUAUGUAUAUGCUGAUGAUUUCCACCAACUAGCACUUUUAUGAGAGGAAGGUCUGGAUUGGUAUGUUCAGGUGGAAAGCUAAAUUCUUGGUUUGAUUUGGGAGGCAAGCUGUCUUAAACAUCCAGUUUGCUUAGUUAAAUCCUUAAUAAAUUACAGUUAUCUUUGUGGAAAAGAUAUCAUACUGAUGA
Long non-coding RNA from Magnolia sinica, 758 nucleotides. RefSeq lists it as uncharacterized. The record is from RefSeq and is a predicted model, not a curated record. The transcript has 4 exons. NCBI's taxonomy places the organism in Eukaryota, Viridiplantae, Streptophyta, Magnoliopsida, Magnoliales, Magnoliaceae.